RNAcentral lists this ribosomal RNA (357 nucleotides) under Triticum aestivum (bread wheat). RNAcentral's name for it is "partial small subunit ribosomal RNA". Lineage: Eukaryota; Viridiplantae; Streptophyta; Magnoliopsida; Poales; Poaceae. The record is from RNAcentral.
ACAGCUGCCGAGGAGAAGCUUCUUUGCGAGUGUUGGCGAGACAUUGGACAAGACCCAAAGAUGGGCACCAAGAAAAAGCAUUCGACCUUUUGGACUCAUGUGCACCGCGAGUUUCAUGAGCGCAAGAAGUUUCCACCUUACCAAUUUGUGAGCACGCGCGGGUGGAUCUCAAUUUCCAAGUGGUGGAGGGUGAUCCAACAAGAGUGCAACAAGUUUUGCGCCACCCUUGAGAGCGCCAAAGCCCGCCCCGUGAGCGGCAUCGGCAUGCAAGACAUGGCAUUUCAAACUUUGAAGGCAUUCAAGGUUCAACACAAUGGCAAGUGCUUCAACCUCUCCCAUUGCUAUCGGGUCAUCAAG